Zingiber officinale is the source of this 1644-nucleotide long non-coding RNA. RefSeq lists it as uncharacterized. The record is from RefSeq and is a predicted model, not a curated record. Lineage: Eukaryota; Viridiplantae; Streptophyta; Magnoliopsida; Zingiberales; Zingiberaceae. The transcript is spliced from 3 exons.
AUGGACAUUUUCAUACCAGCACUAACUGCUCUUUUUUCUCUCUACUACGUUUCAAAAAAUGACUCCGCGUUCAUUUCUCUCUACCUCCUAUCCUCAAUCUCGCCGCGCAUCCUCUCCACGCACAUCGAACACCCGAUAAUUUCUCUCCGCGCCCAUUGAACGCCCGGCGCAAUCUCCUUCUUCCUCCAGUCCUCCCCUGCCCUAAAACUCCCCUCCUUCGUCUCUUCGAAAAUAUCGAUGGUGAAACUCUCCUCCUUCCCAGCCCUCCCCUGUCCUAAAUCUCCCCUCCUUCAUCUCUUCAAAGAUAUCGACGGCGAAACCCUCCUCCUUCCCCAGUGAAGGAUUUAGCCAACGAAACCAGCUGAUUUGUGAAGCUGCUCGGUUCACCCCAAGGUAGCUGCCGAUAUACAUCUCGACUCUCCGUGGCACAUAGUUUGCACCUUUCAAAGAAGGUAGGUAUUUCAUGACAUCAUCAAGUUACAGCUCCAUCGAUAAUACAAAAUUUGAAUAUGUACCAUGCAGGGGGUGCAGAUGAAAAACAUUGGUAUAUAUUUCUAGAUCGACUAAAAAUCCCGGAAGGAGGUAUUAUGGAUGUGGACAACAUGGCUAACAAAAAUGGGUGACAGCCAAUACUUUGUUUGAGGAAAACAGCAGUGAAAUAUGUCAUGGAAGGUUAGGAAGAAUAGAGCCAUAGUUAGGAAGUGAACACCUUGCUUCUUGUGGACAUAAUCUAGAAAAUUGGAAUGUACCAUCAGGUCUGGAUAUUAGUUAUAGUGAAUUUAACUUUUUUGGUCGUGUACUUUAUUACUUUGUUAGUUCGGUCUUGAAAUUAGUGUUGAGUAAUGUUGUUGUUAUAAUAUGACAAGUUAAAUUUUUAUGAGAAUUAGCUGAAGGUUAAUUGGUUUAUUAGUUCAAGUGGUUAAUUAGUAUGGACUAAUGUUGAUGUUGUAAUGUGAUAGGAUAAUUAGUUUUUAGUUAAGUUGGAUGAUGCGGAACAUGUUAAAUAAUGGUUUGAACCUUUUGUAAUGAUUUAUUCUGUGUUAUUCUUAUUUCGAGACUUAGUUCUCAUAUCUGAUACUUCUUAGUCAAGUAAGAAUGUGAGUCUGAUGUUGAUUGUUUUCUGCUGUUUGCAUCUUUCUAAUUUGCAUCUUUAUCUUCAUGUGGAUAUGUUCACUUUGGAUUUCUAGUGUGCAUCUUUCAUGUGGUAGGAUGAUGCGAUGUUGGAAAUGCUUGGCUCCAGAGCAAGAAAAGGAUAUCAGUAGGCUAAUCACGCGGCUGGUGUUGCCAGAGGAAGCUUGAUGGAGCUGAUGAAGUGGAAGUCAGAAGGAUUGGAUCCUUUUUAUGCACAAGCAGUUCAGGUGAAGCAGCAUGACCCCUUGACAGGGAAGAUGAAGAUUGCCAAUCCACAGAGCCAUAGGUUGGUGUGGGAGACCUGCUUGAGUGAGUUCAAGUGCCUCCUAAAAGUGGUCGUGAGGCUCAUCUUCCUUCAUGCCACUUCGUACGGAAUCAACCGUGAUUCAUCGCUGAUCCAGUGGAUGCAUUUGCAUUCUCAAUCAGAGGUUGCAAGGAAGAUAGCUUUUAUAACUGCUCAUUCAAAGAUUGCAAAGAUGAAUUUCUCAAGUGAAACAAUGCGGAUCCUUAUUA